CAAAACGGAGAGUUUGAUCCUGGCUCAGGAUGAACGCUGGCGGUAUGCUUAACACAUGCAAGUCGAACGGGAUGCUUAGGCAUCUAGU
RNAcentral lists this ribosomal RNA (88 nucleotides) under Cylindrospermopsis raciborskii S06. RNAcentral's name for it is "partial 16S ribosomal RNA". It matches the Rfam family "Bacterial small subunit ribosomal RNA", at positions 1 to 96 of the family's 1533-position model. Lineage: Bacteria; Bacillati; Cyanobacteriota; Cyanophyceae; Nostocales; Aphanizomenonaceae. The record is from RNAcentral.